CGAAAGUCCUCUUUCGGGGGCAGGCUUCGGCAGCCGAAAGGCUUGCCUCCCAGGCAGGUUCGGCGGCCGAAAGUUCUUCGGCUGCCGAACCUGGUUUCUGCCAAAGGGCAGAAACUUGGUUCCUCAUGCACAUUUUCCUCUCAAACUUUUCAAACAUGCAUAUACCUAUUCUACAACAUUCCCAAACAAACACAAACAAGCAUACAAGCUCCUAGGGGCUUCAAACCAUCAAAAACCCCAACUACAACACAUCAAACAACUCACAUUAUUCAUAAACACAUAUAAAACCCAUAAACCUAACCAUGAGCUAAACAUGCAUUCUACCCCAUAGAUCUACUUAAAACUUACUUAAAACAUGCCAUAAGCUCAAGAUCGGCCCUUACCUCUUGAAGAUCGAGAGAAGAAUGACCUUAGCUCGGAAAAUGGGAGAGAGAGAGUUCCUUGAACCUCCAAGCUCCAAAACUUGCUCAAAUGCUCAAAAUCUUCAAAACAAGGGUAAAACUAAUGAAAAUC
Molecule: long non-coding RNA, 513 nt
Filed under: Manihot esculenta (cassava)
Lineage: Eukaryota; Viridiplantae; Streptophyta; Magnoliopsida; Malpighiales; Euphorbiaceae
Description: long non-coding RNA (MESC_LNC007477)
Source: RNAcentral